This 313-nucleotide unclassified non-coding RNA is filed under the name Pseudomonas sp. URMO17WK12:I5. RNAcentral describes it as "Long range pseudoknot". Lineage: Bacteria; Pseudomonadati; Pseudomonadota; Gammaproteobacteria; Pseudomonadales; Pseudomonadaceae. The record is from RNAcentral.
ACGGAGGAUGGGGAUUACCAGGUAAAACUACGCAACCUGGUACGUUUCCUUACCGAUGGGGACAAGGCCAAGAUCUCUCUGAGAUUCCGUGGUCGUGAGAUGGCCCACCAGGAGCUGGGCAUGGAGCUGUUGAAGCGGGUUGAAGCUGACCUCGCCGAAUACGGCACCGUUGAGCAGCAUCCGAAGAUGGAAGGACGCCAGCUUAUGAUGGUCAUCGCCCCCAAGAAAAAGAAGUAAUCUCCCGGGCACGGCAGGCCUGAUGAUUAUUGUGUAAUUUUUAUCGAAUGCGGAGUUCAACAUGCCAAAAAUGAAA